This 374-nucleotide ribosomal RNA is filed under the name uncultured bacterium. RNAcentral's name for it is "bacterial SSU rRNA". It matches the Rfam family "Bacterial small subunit ribosomal RNA", at positions 525 to 896 of the family's 1533-position model. The record is from RNAcentral.
ACGUAGGGUGCAAGCGUUGUCCGGAAUUAUUGGGCGUAAAGAGCUUGUAGGCGGUUUGUCGCGUCUGCUGUGAAAUUUCGGGGCUCAACCCCGAACUUGCAGUGGGUACGGGCAGACUAGAGUGUGGUAGGGGAGACUGGAAUUCCUGGUGUAGCGGUGAAAUGCGCAGAUAUCAGGAGGAACACCGAUGGCGAAGGCAGGUCUCUGGGCCACUACUGACGCUGAGAAGCGAAAGCAUGGGGAGCGAACAGGAUUAGAUACCCUGGUAGUCCAUGCCGUAAACGUUGGGAACUAGGUGUGGGUCUCAUUCCACGAGAUCCGUGCCGCAGCUAACGCAUUAAGUUCCCCGCCUGGGGAGUACGGCCGCAAGGCUA